ACGCUCGACACCUACGGGAGCAGCAGUGGGGAAUAUUGCACAAUGGGGGAAACCCUGAUGCAGCGACGCCGCGUGAGCGAAGAAGUAUUUCGGUAUGUAAAGCUCUAUCAGCAGGGAAGAAACUGACGGUACCUGACUAAGAAGCACCGGCUAAAUACGUGCCNGCAGCCGCGGUAAUCUGAGCGGGCUGGCAAGGC
Molecule: ribosomal RNA, 197 nt
Filed under: uncultured bacterium
Lineage: Bacteria
Description: partial 16S ribosomal RNA
Rfam family: Bacterial small subunit ribosomal RNA
Source: RNAcentral